CUAUUUAAAAUUAUCUUUAAUUGUGGAAUAUUUGUUCUCGUGUAUGGGUGGGUCCUUGUACGGACUUAUCUGAAAUGUGGUGUUCCACAAGGUUCAAUCCUCGGUCCUCUUUUUUUCAAUCAAAAAGUACAUGAAAACAUCAUCCUCAAAGUAAAAAGUCGACUUUUAUGCAGAUAAUACUCAGGUGUAUUCCUCCCUCUAGGACGUAGGAUGUUAUCCAAAUUAUUUGGGUAGCUUUAGGACCUCUAGUCCUUUAUGUUUUUCCAACAAAAAUCAUAGCCAGAGGGAGUGAUAAAGCAGUAAUUAGUUUCAUGUUACCUU
Molecule: long non-coding RNA, 321 nt
Organism: Labrus mixtus (cuckoo wrasse)
Lineage: Eukaryota; Metazoa; Chordata; Actinopteri; Labriformes; Labridae
Exons: 2
Source: RefSeq, a predicted model, not a curated record